ACCAUUUGUCCUAAGUCAAAGUUUUAUAGUUUUGACCAACUUUUAAAAAAAGAGUAGUAAUAUAUAUGACACCAAAUUGAUAUAUUAUGAAAACACAUUUCAAAACGAAUCUAGUGAUACUAAUUUAGUGCCAUAAAUGCUGCUACUUUUUUCUAUAAAGUUGAUCAGAGUUUUAAAACUUUGACUUAGUACAAAAGUUA
This 200-nucleotide microRNA precursor is filed under the name Triticum aestivum (bread wheat). RNAcentral describes it as "MIR1435 microRNA precursor family". It matches the Rfam family "MIR1435 microRNA precursor family". Lineage: Eukaryota; Viridiplantae; Streptophyta; Magnoliopsida; Poales; Poaceae. RNAcentral also lists the same sequence under 1 other name. The record is from Rfam by way of RNAcentral.